UUAGCUAGUAGGUGUGGUAAGAGCGCACCUAGGCGACGAUCAGUAGCUGGUCUGAGAGGACGACCAGCCACACUGGGACUGAGACACGGCCCAGACUCCUACGGGAGGCAGCAGUGAGGAAUUUUCCGCAAUGGGCGAAAGCCUGACGGAGCAAUACCGCGUGAGGGAGGAAGGUUCUUGGAUUGUAAACCUCUUUUCUCAGAGAAGAAUAAUGACGGUAUCUGAGGGAUUAGGAUUCGGCUACCUCGUGGCCCCGGGGCCGGUAUUCGGGGGGAGCAGCGUUAAUCCGGAUGAUUUGCGGUAAGGCUGUAGGUUGGUGGUUCAUUCCUGGUUAAAAAGCCUGGGGGUUUAACCCCAAAAAAAGGGGGGGGGGGGCUCUGGCCCCCCUUGGGCCCGGGAAGGGGAAAGAA
RNAcentral lists this ribosomal RNA (410 nucleotides) under uncultured bacterium. RNAcentral describes it as "partial 16S ribosomal RNA". It matches the Rfam family "Bacterial small subunit ribosomal RNA", at positions 241 to 677 of the family's 1533-position model. The record is from RNAcentral.